RNAcentral lists this long non-coding RNA (384 nucleotides) under Androctonus crassicauda. The record is from RNAcentral. Lineage: Eukaryota; Metazoa; Arthropoda; Arachnida; Scorpiones; Buthidae.
GAAACAGAUAGCACCGGAGGGAAGCCCUGUGGUGUUUGGAGUCUUAAGGAGUGUGCGGGGCCCACUGAGACGGGAUGGGGGGAGGGGUGUGUACAGUAUCCCUGUGGCUGAUAACAGUAUGAAUGGGGGGUCAGCGUGUAUUGGAGUGGCUUCGAGAAUGAUGGGAGCGCGUGUGGCGGAGCACAGGGGAGACAUAAGGCAUGCAAGGCUUAGUACAUCUUUGGCCGGAGAAGCUUAUAAUAAGAAUGUUGAUGUGGAUUGGAGGGAGGUUGGGUGGAUUGGGCCCAUACCGAAUUGUACGCGGCCAGUUGUGGCUGAGUCUGUGGAAAUAUUGAAGAGGUUGGGGGGGGAAAGCCUGGUAAAUGAUGGGUUGCCAGGGAGCCU